UACGUAGGGGGCUAGCGUUGUCCGGAUUUAUUGGGCGUAAAGAGCUCGUAGGUGGUUCGGUAAGUCGGAUGUGAAAUCUCCAGGCUCAACCUGGAGGGGUCAUUCGAUACUGCCGUGACUAGAGUUCGGUAGAGGAGUGUAGAAUUCCUGGUGGAGCGGUGAAAUGCGCAGAUAUCAGGAAGAACACCGAUGGCGAAAGCAGCUCUCUGGGACGGUACUGACGCUGAGGCGCGAAAGCGUGGGGAGCGAACAGG
Molecule: ribosomal RNA, 254 nt
Filed under: uncultured bacterium
Lineage: Bacteria
Description: partial 16S ribosomal RNA
Rfam family: Bacterial small subunit ribosomal RNA
Source: RNAcentral